Bos taurus (domestic cattle) is the source of this 616-nucleotide long non-coding RNA. NCBI's taxonomy places the organism in Eukaryota, Metazoa, Chordata, Mammalia, Artiodactyla, Bovidae. The record is from Ensembl.
AGUCUAUGCGGAAGUCAUGGAAAUCACGGAAAAGUUUUGAACCGUGGAGUAGGGGGCAGAUGAGAUGCUGGAGGUGGAGCAGCCCCCUGGUAACCAUGAGGAACCGUUAUAGGUCAAAACCACAAACUGAGGAUAUUCUUGAUGAUAGCAUAGGGAUCCUGGUUCUCUGACAGCCUUGUGGCGCCACUACACCACCCUGCAUAAUUUACUACAUGUUCUUCAUUUGGUUACUGCUCUCAGUGGCAAACUGAUGAAACACCCUACCAGGAAAUCUAUCCAAGAAUGAGCUCCUUGAGGGGUGGGGAGAGUUCCAGCCUGGAGCUUCUUCAGCACAACACCAUCUGGCUAUUUCCUUGAAAACUGAGUAUCCUCCUUGACCUUUGCUGAGUACAUCAAGUGAAGGACUGACUUACAGAAACGCUGACUGGAGGACCUACUUUCCAGAGGGACGACUUGUUGAUUUAACAGCCCACAAGGAGCCAGAUGAACUGACAAAUGGGAUAACCUUGUACACAAAGACUGACUCUCGGGAAAACGACUAAGGUAGAGGAAGUCUUAGCUGUUCUAUAACCAGUUCAUCAGGCGGCCUGAAAGUUCCCAAGCCUCACCAACGCCC